This 4501-nucleotide long non-coding RNA is filed under the name Ananas comosus (pineapple). RNAcentral describes it as "long non-coding RNA (ACOM_LNC023976)". Lineage: Eukaryota; Viridiplantae; Streptophyta; Magnoliopsida; Poales; Bromeliaceae. The record is from RNAcentral.
AAUUUCAUAUCGAAUAAUGUGAGAAAGUUUGAUAGAUUUAUAAGUGACGAACACUUUAGUAAUAAUAAUCGGGUUUAAAUAUUUUGGGCCGCUGGUUUGGGUCCAACGAGUUAUUAUUGCUAGCAGUUUUGAUCGUUACUUUUGGUAUCAGAUCUUGAUAAUCAGCCGAAAGUGUGAGAUAGAUAUCACAUCGCUUGGUGAAUCUGGGACUGUGUAUGAUUGGGCCGGGCUUUCGCCUGGUGAAUCUGGGACUGUGUAUGAUUGGGCCGGGCUAAUGAACACGUCAAGGCCUAAACGAGGGGUCCCACAUUGAAUAAUAUGGGAGAAUGUGAUGGAUUUAUAAGUGAUGAACACACUAGUAAUAAGAGUAGUAGUUCAGUAUUUUCUCUCCUCUUCUUUCUUUUAUAGAACUCUUUUCUACCCAUCUUAUAAUUAUAAAAGCUCUUUCUACCCAUCUUAAAGAUAGUGUUUGAAUUGGGUACAAGAGAGGGGAUAAGAUGGUUAUCCCCCCUCUUGUACCCAAACACUAAUUUGGGUGGGUGGGAACACUUGUUCCCACCUACCCGGUACAACCGAGUAUAGGUGAGAACAGGGGUGGGAACAAUUUGUUCCCAUCCCCCGGGUAGAGAGAGAGAGAGAGAGAAAUUUUUGUUUUAAAUUUAAAUUUAAAUUUUUAAAAUUUAAAAUUUAUAAUUUUGAAAUUAAAAGUUUAAAUUUUAAAUUUGAUAUUUUUAAAUUGUAAAUUUUAAAUUUGAUAUUUUUAAUUUUUAAAUUUUAAAUUUGAUAUUUUAUUUCUUUCAAAUUUAAAUUUGGUCUUAAAUUUAAAAUUUGAUAUUUAAAAUUAAAAUUUUAAUUUUUAAUUUUAAAUUUUAAAAUUUAAAAGUUAAAAUUUAAAAUUAUAAGUUUCAAAUUUAAAAAUUUAAAUUCAAUUAUAUGGGUAAUAUCAUUAUUUUCUAUUUAUAACUACCAACUUGUAAUAUGCGGACUUUUGAUACUUGUGUAGGUGUGAGAAAGAGGGUGGAAAUGAGGUGAAACCGUUUUGGCGCGAAAUUGACGCGAAAACGGAUAAAUUGCGCCAAUAUUUCUUUAUGAGGGACCAUAUUACAAAUAGCAAAAUUACUGGAUUAAGUUGCAAAAUGGCUUGAUCUUAUCCUCUCUCCCUCUCUCUCUCCCUUUGAAGCUGCCAGAAAACAAGAGAAAAGAAAGAGAGAAAGAGAGAAGAAGAAGAAGAAGAAGAAGAUGAAGAUAACUUGGAGGCAAGGUAAAAAUUUCCAUUCUUCUCUUUCCCUUCCCUUCUUCUUCCCUUUCUUUUCCCUUCUUUCCUCUCUUCUCCUUUCCUUCUUCCUUUCCUUCUUCCUUUCCUUCUUUCCUCUUCUUCCCCUGCUGCUGCUGGUGCAGUUUUGCAACCUUGCUGCUGCUGCGAGGUACUGUAGCAGCAGCAGCAGCAGCUCAGCAGCAGCAGCAGCUCAGCAGCAGCAGCAGCAGAUUGCUGCUGCAGGCUGCCCAGUAGCAGCAACAAAUUGUUGCUACUGCAGAGGCAGCAAAAAAGAAAGAAAGAAAAGGAAAAGAGAAGAGGAAAAGAAGAAAUGAAAGGAAGAGGAAGAAUGAAAAAGAGAAAUCAAGAGAGAGAGAGAGAGAUGGAAAGAAAAGAAUAGAUAGAAUAACAUGAAUGAAGUGGAUGUAGAAAUUGGAUCGAGUGAUGCAAUUGCCAUGAUUCGCACCUCUAAUCUUCAAUUGAUGCACGCAGGGUGUUCGAGAGUGUGAAUUAGUGUGAUACACAUUUCCGAUGAGGCGCAAUGAGGUGCAAUUUAAGUAAUUUCGGAAAAUCGUGCGAAGGGUCGCGUGUAGCCUUUCUUUUAUCGGAGUCGACAUAGCGAGUCGAGGUGGGUUCCGAGUCGUCGAAAACGGCGAAUUUCCCCCUAUGUCUAUUUUGGUACAAGCUAUAUAAUAUUUGAAUUUGCGCAUCUAAUUUAUCUUUUUAUUGAUCCUCAGACCGUGAAAAAUUGAAGCAUGAUAGAGAUUUAGCAUUGACAUCUGAUUAUGCGCGGAAGUAUGUAUAUGCAUAUGCGUAUGGUGAUCCACCUUAUACUCACAUUUUUAUCCAAACACAAUUUUUCUAGUUCCAGCUUAUACUUACAUUUUUAUCCAAACAAAAAAAUGCCAUUUUUCUUACAAAAAUUCAUACUUAUACUUAUCCCCGAUAUAACUAGUUCUUAUUUAUAUCCAAACCAAACGAAGCCUACGAAUCUCUUGUAUAUAAUACCGUCUCCACCUCUUCGGGCUUCCUUAAAGGGAACCCUUUUAAUGCAUCUUAUAAUAUCCUAAGAAUCCUUUGUAUAUAAUACCGUCUCCACCUAUUCGGGUUUCCUUAAAGGGAACCCUUUUAAUGUAUCUACUAGUGAAGUUACCCACGCAUUGCAGCGGGCUGAUGCUAUAGAAGACAGAAGAUUCACAAAAUAAAAAUUUUAAAUUUUUUGAAUUGCCAUAAGACAUUAAUAAAUAAAGAUAAUAUAUAUUAACAUAUACAAAUAAAAGAGAUGAAACAGAUAUACGUACAAAUGUAACAAAAUUUCAGUAAAUGAAUUAUAAAAAAUAGUAAUGAAAGAAGCAGCAAUAGAAUUAUUACUCCAUACGUAUCUUGAUCACACUACCGACAUCGGGGAGACGAAUACCCAUCUCCACAUUACCUUUGCCACCAUUAUCAACGUCGAGCUCCUUUUUCGUCACUGCCACGUUGAUUCCCUACAGAUCUCUCCAAACGUACCACUUCUUUCCUCUCAUUGACUCCAAAUCUAUCUUCGCUUUUCCCCGCGAUGCUGCGCUACAAUCCACGAAACUCUAAUUUCAAUACACAUACAAUUUAAAAACAAAAAGAUAAAAAAAUAAAAAAAAUUACAAAAUAUGAACCAUUCUUAUGCGCCAAAAAAAUAAAAAAAAAAGAGUACGAAGAAAUCUUAUUUUACUUAUUUUCUUUUAUGAAAGCAAUUUGUAUAUAUGAAAUUGGACCAUAAAAAAAAUACAUCUCUUAUUUUUGUAACAGAGGACUAUUAGCGUGUAAGAGAGUCCACAAAGCGAGGGCAAAGCGAGAGCUUUGGUGACGUUCACGGGUACGCCUAGCCUCGCCCCUUCUCAUAUGGCCUCGCAGAGGCAUGUGACGCUCCGGCUUAGCACGUGAUCGAGCCCGGAGCAGCAACCCCGAUUCGGCACCGUUCGCCCCGCCCUCCACAAACUCCAAGCAUUCGCUGAACCCAAACAAUGCGCCCGAACAAUCAUGGCUCGACCCGAAUGGCGUUGAUGGGUUCGUACUCGCGUUCGAGAAUAAUAAUAAGAAUAAUAGAAUGAAGAGUUGGUUUGUAACAUAGGACAUUGUUGGAGUGUGGUAUUUGGUUUCGGAGAAUGAGGAGAUGAUGAUGAUGGGGUUUUAGUGGUGCUAAUUGUGUGGAUCAUCGUAAUUAUUAAAGUUAAUGAUGCGUUAGUAACUCCUUGGUGGGGAGAUGAAGAGUGUGGGUUUAAGAUCGUAAUUAUUAAAGUUAAUGAUGCGUUAAUAACUCCUUGGUGGGGAGAUGAAGAGUGUGGGUUGUGAUUAGAGAAGAGAGGAGAAGGUAAGGAUAAAGGAGGGACCGCCACGUGGCAAGACUUCAUGGAAAAUAAUGUAUAGGUAUAGAGGUAUAGAUAAUCAUGUAAGUCUCGAUGUACUUUUUAAUAUAUUAUUUUAUGUUUCUUUUGUUACGACAAACGCACAAAUGAAAACGAAAUUACGAAUACAAAAUAAACAAAUCACAAGUAGAAGCAAAAGAAAAACACACAGAUUUAUGUAAAAAAUUCUUUGCAGGAAAAAAUCACAGGCGAGGAAGAAGAGAACUUCACUAUAAAACGAAAAAAAGGGAAUACAAUAUUCAGAUAGUACAACCAACCACGAUCUCACGCCUUUAGGGCAAAAACAAAAAGGAAAACUCUUAACGAGUUUCGGAUCCGAUCCGUACCUUCACAAUUUUAUUUUUCUAUUUGGUCGCAUCGCGAAACUGUCGGCGAGUCGAAAAACUCGAACUUGAGUCGAUUAUCAAUUUUGAGUCACAUCUAACAUCUUUCAUCCAUGAUAUUUUUCUGGUUUCACCUAGAUCUAUCAGCCUAUCCGAACAUAGGUUAUGCUUAAGGUUUUUCCUUAAGAUGAAUAUUACAUCUUGAGCAAGUAUAAAGCAUAUACACUUGGCGAAUUUCAUAAGGGCUUGGGUGUCUGUUGAGGUCGUUCCGCCGUUGAGCUUAGACAUUAGGCCUUUGGACAAUUUCUUUCCCUGAAAACCGUACAUCAUGAGGGUCUUGUACACUAUCAGUCUGUCUCAAGUGGUAUUCAUCUAAGGCGAAGUCCAAAUAGUAUAGCCGGCCGUAGAAGCUUGGUCUUAGGUCUGGGGAGGACGGUCGGUCUACUAUCGAGCACAUAUUGCAUGAAAAAUAUAAUGAGAUGAAGAACCAAAAGAAAGAAAUUAAAUUAAAGAACCUUAGA